RNAcentral lists this ribosomal RNA (792 nucleotides) under Cyclidium glaucoma. RNAcentral describes it as "SSU rRNA". It matches the Rfam family "Eukaryotic small subunit ribosomal RNA", at positions 81 to 895 of the family's 1831-position model. The record is from RNAcentral. Lineage: Eukaryota; Ciliophora; Oligohymenophorea; Pleuronematida; Cyclidiidae.
GUGAAACUGCGAAUGGCUCAUUAAAACAGUUAUAGUUUAUUUGAUGAUUGAAGUCUACAUGGAUAACCGUGGUAAUUCUAGAGCUAAUACAUGCAUUCAGGCCUGACUCACGAAGGGCUGUAUUUAUUAGAUAUGAAGCCAAUAUUCCGCAAGGUCUAUUGUGGUGAAUCAUAGUAACUGAUCGGAUCCCCAACUGGGGAUAGAUCAUUCAAGUUUCUGCCCUAUCAGCUUUCGAUGGUAGUGUAUUGGACUACCAUGGCAGUAACGGGUAACGGAGAAUUAGGGUUCGGUUCCGGAGAGGGAGCCUGAGAAACGGCUACCACAUCUAAGGAAGGCAGCAGGCGCGUAAAUUACCCAAUGCAGAUUCUGCGAGGUAGUGACAAUACAUAACAACCUGGGGUCUCACGACUUACGGGAUUGCAAUGAGAACAAUUUAAAAACCUUAACGAGGAACAAGUGGAGGGCAAGUCUGGUGCCAGCAGCCGCGGUAAUUCCAGCUCCACUAGCGUAUAUUAAAGUUGUUGCAGUUAAAAAGCUCGUAGUUGAACUUCUGGUUGUGCGCCAGUGGUCGGUCUUCGAUCGCCCUGGGUGCAGCCAUCCGUCUGCAAACUUUUACAUCCUUAACUGGUUUGUCUAAGGGAGCAGGCAUUUUACUUUGAAAAAAUUAGAGUGUUUAAGGCAGGCACAAGCCGCUGAAUACAUUAGCAUGGAAUAAUGGAAUAGGACGUCUUGUCCAUUUGAUUGGUUAUUGGACUUGCGUAAUGAUAAUAGGGACAGUUGGGGGGCAUUAGU